UACGUAGGGCGCAAGCGUUGUCCGGAAUUAUUGGGCGUAAAGAGCUCGUAGGCGGUUUGUCACGUCGGAUGUGAAAGCCCGGGGCUUAACCCCGGGUCUGCAUUCGAUACGGGCAGACUGGAGUGUGGUAGGGGAGAUCGGAAUUCCUGGUGUAGCGGUGAAAUGCGCAGAUAUCAGGAGGAACACCGGUGGCGAAGGCGGAUCUCUGGGCCAUUACUGACGCUGAGGAGCGAAAGCGUGGGGAGCGAUCCGG
Molecule: ribosomal RNA, 253 nt
Filed under: uncultured bacterium
Lineage: Bacteria
Description: partial 16S ribosomal RNA
Rfam family: Bacterial small subunit ribosomal RNA
Source: RNAcentral